Cicer arietinum (chickpea) is the source of this 599-nucleotide long non-coding RNA. RefSeq lists it as uncharacterized. Lineage: Eukaryota; Viridiplantae; Streptophyta; Magnoliopsida; Fabales; Fabaceae. The record is from RefSeq and is a predicted model, not a curated record.
UUUUGAAGCAUGCAAGGCCAAAGCAAGAUAGUUGGUUCAUUUUGGAUAUCAAUGUCUUGGAUGGUACAAUGAUGGCUCCAUCUACCCCAUUCACAAAGAUUUGGCGAAUGCGUAACAAUGGCAUUUUAGUGUGGCCCAAGGGAACUCAACUUGUUUGGAUUGGUGGUUAUAAAUUAAUUGAUGUGCUUUCUGUUGACUUAGAGGUUGCUGAGGAUGGUGUACCCAUGAUCUAAAGGUCCAUAUUUUUUUCUUUCUCAUGACAUGUAAAGUAGUGUUCACUUAAUUUUUUUUUAUUAUAAGAUUUUCUGCUUGAAAUGGAGUAUGAGAACAGAUUCAGACAAGCUCAUAGACAAAAAUAUGACUGUCUUCUUUUUGAUUUAGAUGAUAUUUUGUAUCCACUAAGUUGUGGUAUUGCAAAAGCAUGUGGACAAAAUAUUAAAGGUGAUAUAUUGUUUAGUUUUUUACCAAUAAUGUUUUUAGUGAUGUGUUUAUGAUUUUUUUUUACAUAUUUUGUUGGUAUUGACUAAUUGAAUGCACCAUUGAUCUAUAGACUAUGGAACAACUAUGGUUGGUUUAAGGGUAUGCAUGAUUCUUAUAUA